This 940-nucleotide long non-coding RNA is filed under the name Homo sapiens (human). RNAcentral's name for it is "HSALNT0358786". The record is from RNAcentral. Lineage: Eukaryota; Metazoa; Chordata; Mammalia; Primates; Hominidae.
CCUCUUUCCUCUUACCCUCGUUUCUCACCUUUCACCCUGUCCCUCGGCCCGCUUUUCCCCUCCCCGCUCUGUCCUGUCGUUUUCUUAACACUCUUCACACGCGCACUUCCUCCUCCUCCUCUUCUCUUUUUCCCACCCCUACCUUUGGGCCCUCCUUCCUUAACCUCCGCUGGCCCCCCAUUCCAUGAUCCGUCCACCUGACACGCUGGGUUUCAUGCCUCUCUUUCCCAGGCUGUGGGUUGUGCCCUUCACUCCUUGCCCUCCUCCAUUCCCUGUCCUGAUCUGAACUCCUCUCCUUGCCACGCUCCCUCACCCUUAUCCCUCUGCACACUCCAAAAUUUUUAAAGAAAAAGGAGAGAGAGAAAAAAAAGUAAAAGAAAAGAAACCCAAAAGGGAAAAUAUAGCUAAGGUGAACUGCAAAACCAUAUUCCUGCUGCUGUCAGUUAUGAUGCACUGAGAAAACUUCAGAGACCUAAACUUUUUCCAGAGAAGAGAAGCUUUACUGGUGUUCCAGCCCUAAGAAACCUUUGUUCAAGAAAACGGCAGAUGCUCUGUUGAAUCCACUGGAGAUUGUUCUGAUACUAAGGACAAGUAUCAACCAUCUUUCCUGUGAAAAAUUCCCUCUCGUACUUUAGUUCUGUGGAUCCAAAAUUUAUAGCAUUCUUCUACCACCACAGGGGCUCAUAUGACAUUAACAGACAAGACACUUUUCAGAAAGACAGAAACUACUCUGAAAAACUCUCUUAAUUCUUUUUACGGCCGGGUGCGGUGGCUGGAGCCUGUAAUCCAAGCACUUUGGGAGGCCGAGGUGGGUGGAUCACCUGAGAUCUGGAGUUCGAGACCAGCCUGGCCAACAAGGUGAAACCCCACCUCUAUUAAAAAUACAAAAAUUAGCUGGGUGUGGUGGCACACACCUGUACUCCCAGCUACUUGAGAGGUU